This 253-nucleotide ribosomal RNA is filed under the name uncultured bacterium. RNAcentral's name for it is "partial 16S ribosomal RNA". It matches the Rfam family "Bacterial small subunit ribosomal RNA", at positions 524 to 776 of the family's 1533-position model. The record is from RNAcentral.
UACGUAGGGGGCUAGCGUUGUCCGGAAUCAUUGGGCGUAAAGAGCGUGUAGGCGGCCCGGUAAGUCCGCUGUGAAAGUCGGGGGCUCAACCCUCGAAUGCCGGUGGAUACUGUCGGGCUAGAGUGCGGAAGAGGCGAGUGGAAUUCCCAGUGUAGAGGUGAAAUUCGUAGAUAUUGGGAAGAACACCGGUGGCGAAGGCGGCUAUCUGGCCCGUAAUUGACGCUGAGGCGCGAAAGCGUGGGGAGCAAACAGG